RNAcentral lists this long non-coding RNA (5410 nucleotides) under Sus scrofa (pig). RNAcentral's name for it is "lncRNA (ENSSSCG00040073610.1)". The record is from RNAcentral. Lineage: Eukaryota; Metazoa; Chordata; Mammalia; Artiodactyla; Suidae.
UUUUUUUUUUUUUACAAUGAAGAAAUUUAUGUUAUGUAUAUAUAUAUAUACACAUAUAUACACACACACACACACAGAAAAGUGCACAAAUGAAAAGCAUACAUGUUGGUGAAUUUUCAAAAAUGCAGCACUUUUGGAGUUCCCUGGUGGCACAGUGGGUUAAGCAUCCAGCAUUAUCAGUGCAGCAGCUUGGGUCACUGCUAUAACAUAGGUUGGAUCCCUGGCCUGGGAACUUCUUCAUGCUACCAGUGUGGCCCCUCCCAAAAUAGGGAACCCGUAUUUGUAUAAUCAACACCCAGAUUAAAAAAAAAAAAAAAAAAAAAACGAAAACUUAUCAGGGCACCUGAAGUUGUUCUGGUCCCUUCCCAGUCACUACUCCCCUCAAGGGUAGACAUGAUUCUGAUUCCUAAUAGUAGAAACUAGUUUUGUUUGCUUUGCUUUUUCUGUAAAGAGAAUUACACAGUAUGUACUCUUUUGUGUCAGGCUGCUUCUUUUUUUUUUUUUUUUGCCCUCACCCACAGCAUGUUGGAAGUUCUUGGCCCAGGGAUCAAACCUGUACCACAGAAGCUGUAGUGACAAUGCUGGAUCCUUAACCCGCUGCACCACAAAGGAACUUGUGUCUGGCUUCUUUUGUUCAACAUUAUUUUUGUGACAUUCAGCCAUAUUGCUAUGUGUAGUUUUAGUCCAUUCAUGCUCAUUACUGGGUAGUAUUAUAUUGUGGGAAUAUACCACAAUUUACUUUUUGAUUAUAACUGUUAAUGGAAUCAAAUAUUUUUGCAUCACAUAAGGGAGAAUUCUAUUUAUGAUAGAGAAUCUUCUUAUAAACAUGUUAAAGUCAUGUCCUAUCAGUAACAUUUUUAAGUUUUUGUCAUAUAAAAUUUAUAUAUUCCCUUUAAAGAUUAUUUCUAGUAUUUGAGUGUCUUGAUUGCUAUAGUUAUUUUUACUUUAUUUAUUUAUUUGCUUUUUAGGGCUUAACCUGCAGCAUAUAGAAGUUCCCAGGCUAUAGGUUGAAUUGGAGCUGCAGCUAUUAGUCUAUGCCACAGCAACACCAGAUCCAAGCCGCGUCUGUGACCUACACCACAGCUCAUGGCAGUGCUGGAUCCUUAACUGACUGAGUGAGGCUAGGGAUUGAACCUGUGUCUUCAUGGAUACUAGUCGGAUUUGUUACCACUGAGCUACAACAGGAACUCCAAGUUUUUUUUUUUUUUUUUACUUUUAAAAAGGUAAAAGAAUAGUUCAGACUCAAGGAAGAAUGUCCAUUGUUGCUCUAAAAAGCACAGGCCUAUUUUACAGGUUCAUCUUCCAGCUCUAAUGGGGAUGGGAGGUGAGGGGCACAAGAGAGGAAAUAAAGUGGUAGUCCAAAAAGGGGUUAAAAAUUAAAAAUUAAACCAUAGCAGUAAUUUCUUAACGAAAGCAGUGAAAAGCUGGAUGUAAUCACUUUUCCUGGAGAUUUUUUGAAGAAGGGUUGACUCUAAAUGGUUGGGUAGGGAGAUUGGGGAGUAGAAGGGAUAACUUUAGAUGAGAUGAUUCCAAACUCACUCUCAAGCCACUGUGCACUUGGGAUUUGUCAUCUCAUUUACCCUCUAAGAGCCCAAACCAGGAUUAAAAGAUUGAGUUGUGAGAGGCUGGGAUUGGGUGAAUCGUGAUUUCUUUAUUCUUAUCUCCAAUUCUGAAGAGUCCAUUCUGUUUCCUGGAAGGUUGUCCUGAACGAGAUGCAGGUGGCAGUAGAUGAAACCAGUUAACGUGAAGUGUUGAUUGCCCAACCAGUCCAGUGGGCAGGUGUUUUCACUCAAUAAGUCAAAGCAGGAAAGUAGACGUGAGCUAGAUGGUUGGGUAGUGAGGGGUUCUCAAAAACAGUAGCCUGGUUCCAGAGCCUUGACUGCUUAGAGUCCCCUUUCUUGACAGUCUGCAGACAAUCCAUUCAAAUAGCACUCAGCUAUCUGAGGUUUUGAAAAACAGCACACUCCCUUUGCCCACUGAAAGAAUCACCCCUUUCUUGCCCCAUCACUCAAGGCUCUUCACCAGAAACCAACCGGAGCAUGGGCCUUCAUCUCAGAAAUCAUGCUGGUGCUACUCCUCAGUCUUUAGAUUAGAUUGACAAAUUGUGGCAGGUGUCCUAGGAAAGAAACAUUCUCCUCAGCCUCUCCAGCUGCCACCAUCCAGCUUAACUCCCCUUUACAUAGGGGAAUUUGAAGUUUGAAGAAGACUCAGGAAUCCCAGAUCUCAGAUGCUCUCCAGCCUGAAUCACCACCACACUCGCCUCUUAGAGUAAAAGUCCUCUGCAAAGUCUCCUGCCUCUCUGAGAGGUGGAUGCUGUGGGGAGAAAGGGGAUGGGGAGGGGAGAAGCUGGAGGCAACAAUGUGUUUUCUCACAGGGUCCAUCUACCAUUUGCUCUUACCUGUGCAGUUAUCUACCUCACACCAUAGUCCUUUGCAGCCUUUUCGCUUUGUCGCUAAUGGUCCCUGGAGAGCAUGGGUGCCUAAGCCUUCAGCUUUCUUCCUGCCACUUGAGGCUUUUCACAGCAGAGGUCCUACAAGUUUUUUGUUUGUUUGUUUGUUUUUGUUUUUUUUUUUUAAAUAGUCUCACUCAAGGCAUAUGGAAGUUCCUGGACCAGAGACUGAAUCCAAGCUGCAGCUGUGACUUGUGCCACAGCUGCAGUAAUGCUGGAUCCUUUAACCCACUGCGCCAGGCCAGGGAUUGAACCUGUGCCACUACAGUAACCCAAACUACUGCAGUCAGAUUCUUUUUCAUUUGCUUUUUUUUUUUAGGGUCUCAUCUGUGGCAUAUGGAAGUUCCCAGGCAAGGGGUCAAAUCAGAGCUGUAGCUGCUGACCUACACCACAGCCACAGCCAUAGCCACAGCAGCUCAGGAUCCAAGCCACUUCUGCAACCUACACCACAGCUUGUGGCAAUGCUGGGUCCUUAACCCAGUGAGUGAGGCCAGGGAUCCAACUUGUGUCUUCGUGGAUACUGGUCAGGUUCAUUACCACUGAGGCACAGCAGGAACUCCUGCAGUCAAUUCUUAACCCAUUGUGCCAUAGUGGGAACUCCUCUGAGCAUUUUUGUUCAUUACUUGCACCAGAUAUUCUCAGAGGGUCUGUGACUCAUUGCCUUGCAUCGUGCUCCUCUCUUGUAUAAGGGAACCAGCCUAGGAGAGGACAUGGGGAAAUUAUAAUAUAUAUCAGGGGCCAAAAUGGGGUGUGCUGAAACACUGGCCAGAGUAUCUUUGAGUGCAGACUUCUCUUAGAUAAGAUCGUGUCUGAAAUGGAAGAGAGGAGGGGUAGGGAGAGGUUGGGUUGGGAUGACCUCAGGAAGGUGCUCUCGGGCAGGAAUAGGCAGAGGGAGGGCAGAGACGAAUUCUCCUUGAAUCUGAAGCAGCUCACUGAUUGUCCCACCAUACUGGAAAUUCCUGAGCCAGGCUCUCUAUAACCGGAGAGGUUGUUGUGGUUAGAACCUAGGAAAAAACCUCGGAAAUCUGGAGCUGCCUUUUUGUGUGUGUGUCUUUUUAGGGCCGUGCCUGCAGCAUAUGGAGGUUCCCAGGCUAAGGGUCUAAUCGGAGCUGUAGAUGCUAGUCUUUGCCAGGGCCACGGCCACCCAGGAUCUGUGCCGCGUCUGCGAUCCACACCACAGCUCACAGCAACGCCAGAUCCUUAACCCACUGAGCGGGGCCAGGGAUUGAACCCACAACCUCAUGGUUCCUUGUUGGAUUUGUUAACCACUGCACCACCACGGGAAGUCCCUGAAGCCGCCAUUUUUAAUCAUGAGAGGCUGUGUUGCUGGCAGCCAGGCAUUUCAGUUCAUCUGAUUUCUGAAAUGUCUGCUGGUCCCUGGGGCAGAGGCAAGGAUGUUGGGAGAGGAAACUGAGAAGAAAGAUGAAAAACCAACAACUAAUCCUCAGCUUCCUAAAUCAGGUGCAUUAGAGUUACUGAACUGACCCCAGUUCCCCUUAAAAGAAUUGUUCAGAGUGGAUUUUACCUUCCUCACAAGCCAAUUUCUACAGCUGAGAGGCCCUGGGAGAGGGGGUUAAAAGAGCAGACAGCGACUGGAGCAGUGUGGCACUGUGGUGGAAAAGCAUUUGGGUUUUAAGUUAGACAGCCCUGAGUUCAGCAGCAGCUCUCUUACUAACUAGCUCUGUGUACUUGAACAAGUUGCUUAAUCUAUUUGACCUUUAGUUCCAUCAGCCAAGAAUCCCUGUCUUAAUAGGGUGGAUGUAAGGAUGAAAUAAGAACAAAAAAUAUAAAUAUCAGCUCUAUAUCAGACCUAUAUCUUUAUCUAUCUCUAUAUAUCCACUGACACAGAAUAGGCCCUCAGCAGAUGUUAUUUUUCUUCUCUCUCCAUGACUCUCUCCGCCCCCACCCCUGACCUCUGAAGCUGCCAUUGGAUUGCCUUCCAUGGGGACCAUAACAUCCCUGCACAUGUGCACACAUCACCCACCGCUGUCCCCGGUUGCAGGCGCACACAUGUUGACACAUACACACACCCCUGAGCUACAGGCAGCCUUUCCAGACAGUGGAGGUAAGGGGCUGGCUUGUUGAUGAUUGGACAAGCUGUUUAAGUACUAAGUCAUAGUAACCUUGUUAUGGUAACUUGAAGGUGUUCUGGAAAGGCAGUGUUAGGAGAGCAAGGGCUGGUGGGGAAAUCCCACAGGCAUUUCCUCUAGGUUGAAUGUGCAUCUUAGGGAUACUUUGCACACCUCUGCCAAGGAGGUCCUGGUGUACACCCAGAGUUAUGGUGUCUGGAGCUGUGCCGUCUAGUAUGGUAGCCACCGGCCACAUGUGGUUAUGGAGCAGUUGAAAGAUAGCCCGUGUGACCUAGGAGUGGAAUUUUAAUUUUAUUUUAUUUUAUUUAAUUAACUAAUUAAUUUAUUUAUUUUUGCCCUUUUUUUUUAAAGGGCCAUACCUGUAGCAUAUGGAGAUUCCUAGACUAGGGGUCUAAUUGGAGCUGUAGCCAAGCGACGCCAGAUCUGAGCCUCCUCUUUGACCUAUACCACAGCUCACGCCAGACCCUUAACCCACUGAGCGAGCCCAGGGAUCAAACCCAUGUCCUCAUGGAUACUAGUCAGAUUUGUUUCUGCUGAGCCAUGAUGGGAACUCCUAAAUUUUAAUUUCAAUUAAUUUAAAUGUUAAAACCAGUACUUGAUUUAGUUAUUGGCAAAGUUUUAAUAUAAUUGGAGAAGGCUGGGUGUGUGAAUUGACUUUCAACAGUGAAUUUUGUGAGACUUAAAUACAGAUCAGAUAUUUCUGGUGAAGAUUUAGUUAUCAAAUUGGAAUUGCUGUAAAGGUAAAAUCUACACCGGAUUUCAAUAUCUAAUAUGACAAAAAUGUAAAAUAUUUCAUUAUCCAUUUUUAUCCUGAUAACGUGUUGGAAUAGUUUGGGUACAUUGGGUGAAAUAAAAUAUAGUAUUAAAAUGC